Molecule: long non-coding RNA, 409 nt
Organism: Tupaia belangeri chinensis (Chinese tree shrew)
Lineage: Eukaryota; Metazoa; Chordata; Mammalia; Scandentia; Tupaiidae
Exons: 3
Source: RefSeq, a predicted model, not a curated record
CGCGCGUCCCGCCCCACUGUCCUCGGCUGCCAGUCCCCUGCCUUAGGAUAAAGCCUGCCAGGUCCGCUGAGCAGACCAGAGCUGCUGGGAGUGGCAGAGCUCUCCACCCCAAGCCAGACCAUGGCUGAUCCUGGGAAGCAACUACCAGAGGAGGUGCUGGUUUUUAUUUUCUGCCACUUGCCCCUGAAGGACCGUGCCAUGGCUGCCCAGGUUUGCAAGUCCUGGGCUGCGGCUGCCACCUGCAGCUCCGUAUGGCAUGACACGAGCAUCAGCUUUGACGAUGAGUGGGAAGGCACGCUGCCACCAUAUCUGUCCACCUGCCUGGACCACGUUCAAAACCUACGGCUGGAAUUUGAGCCUUCGGGAGAACGGAGUCGCAGGGCGGCCACUGAGCUGCUGGUGGCACUGG